RNAcentral lists this ribosomal RNA (250 nucleotides) under uncultured prokaryote. RNAcentral's name for it is "partial 16S rRNA". It matches the Rfam family "Bacterial small subunit ribosomal RNA", at positions 525 to 775 of the family's 1533-position model. The record is from RNAcentral.
ACGUAGGGGGCAAGCGUUAUCCGGAAUUAUUGGGCGUAAAGAGUGCGUAGGUGGUUUUUUAAGCGUGAGGUGAAAGGCAAUAGCUUAACUAUUGUAAGCCUUGCGAACUGGAAGACUUGAGUGCAGGAGAGGAAAGUGGAAUUCCUAGUGUAGCGGGUAAAUGCGUAGAAAUUAGGAGGAACCCCAGGGGCGAAGGGGACUUUCUGGACUUUAACUGACCCUGAGGCAAGGAAACGUGGGGAACAAACAG